Molecule: ribosomal RNA, 401 nt
Filed under: uncultured bacterium
Lineage: Bacteria
Description: bacterial SSU rRNA
Rfam family: Bacterial small subunit ribosomal RNA
Source: RNAcentral
UAGGGAAUAUUAGUAAUGGGCGAAAGCCUGAACUAGCAACGCCGCGUGUGCGAAGAAGGCCUUCGGGUUGUAAAGCACUUUUUGAGAGGAUGAGGAAGGACGGUACUCUCAGAAUAAGUCUCGGCUAACUACGUGCCAGCAGCCGCGGUAACACGUAGGAGGCGAACGUUAUCCGGAUUUACUGGGCGUAAAGCGCGUGUAGGUGGUUUGGUAAGUAGGGCGUGAAAGCUCCUGGCUCAACUGGGAGAGGCCGUUCUAAACUGCCGAACUAGAGGAUGGUAGAGGGAGGUGGAAUUCCGGGUGUAGCGGUGGAAUGCGCAGAUAUCCGGAGGAACACCAGUUGCGGAAGCGGCCUCCUGGACCAUUCCUGACACUCAGACGCGAAAGCUAGGGUAGCAAAC